GACGAACGCUGGCGGCGUGCCUAACACAUGCAAGUCGAGCGGAGACUUUAGCAAUAAAGUCUUAGCGGCGGACGGGUGAGUAACGCGUGGGCAACCUGCCUCAUACAGGGGGAUAACACUGGGAAACUAGUGCUAAUACCGCAUAAUAUCAAAAGAUGGCAUCACCUUUUGAUCAAAGGAGCAAUCCAGUAUGAGAUGGGCCCGCGUCCGAUUAGCUAGUUGGUGGUGUAAUGGACCACCAAGGCGACGAUCGGUAGCCGAACUGAGAGGUUGAUCGGCCACAUUGGGACUGAGACACGGCCCAGACUCCUACGGGAGGCAGCAGUGGGGAAUAUUGCACAAUGGGGGAAACCCUGAUGCAGCAACGCCGCGUGAAGGAUGAAGGUUUUCGGAUCGUAAACUUCUUUAGCCAGGGACGAAGAAUGACGGUACCUGGAGAAUAAGCCACGGCUAACUACGUGCCAGCAGCCGCGGUAAUACGUAGGUGGCGAGCGUUGUCCGGAAUUACUGGGUGUAAAGGGCGUGUAGGCGGGAAUGUAAGUCAGAUGUGAAAUUCCGGGGCUCAACUCCGGGGCUGCAUCUGAAACUGCAUUUCUUGAGUGCUGGAGAGGAAAGCGGAAUUCCUAGUGUAGCGGCGGAAUGCGUAGAGAUCCGGAAGAACACCGGUGGCGAAGGCGGCCUGCUGGGCAGUUGCUGACGCUGAGGCGCGACAGCGUGGGGAGCAAACAGGAUUAGACACCCUGGCAGUCCACGCCGUAAACGAUGGGCACUAGGUGCUUGCGGGAGCGACCCCGUGAGUGCCGGCGCUAACGCAUUAAGUGCCCCGCCUGGGGAGUACGGCCGCAAGGCUGAAGCUCAAAGGAAUUGACGGGGGCCCGCACAAGCGGUGGAGCAUGUGGUUUAAUUCGACGCAACGCGAAGAACCUUACCUACUUGACAUGCAUGGGAAACUCUGAAACCAGAGGCCCUCUUCGGAGCUCAUGCAC
Molecule: ribosomal RNA, 986 nt
Filed under: uncultured bacterium
Lineage: Bacteria
Description: bacterial SSU rRNA
Rfam family: Bacterial small subunit ribosomal RNA
Source: RNAcentral